Long non-coding RNA from Cannabis sativa, 844 nucleotides. RefSeq lists it as uncharacterized. The record is from RefSeq and is a predicted model, not a curated record. The transcript has 2 exons. Lineage: Eukaryota; Viridiplantae; Streptophyta; Magnoliopsida; Rosales; Cannabaceae.
UUUUUGUGUGAGUUGACACUAAAGAUAAUAAUGCAAAUGCAAGAGGGGACAGACAUUGCAUUGUGCUUAUUGACUUUUGUCCAAAUGAAACUGUUAUAAAUGAGACAAAAAUUAAUAACUUAUUAUUUAAUAUUUUUUAGAUUAUAAGCUGCAUUAUUAAUAAUUAAUUAAUAAAAAAAUUAUGAAAUGGAGAAAGCACUUUCAUAUUUGGUGGAAAGUGAGACCCAACCCACAUAACACUAAUUAUUGUAUCUAAAUUAACUUGCUUAAUAAUCAUCUAUAUAAAUGACUCAAUAACAUUUCUUCCUCCUAUAAACCAACUAAUAAGUCUCAUAUAACAAGUUUGAAAAGCAGCUAUAGUUAGACUGUAAAAAUGAAAGGGACAACGAUUGUUGUGUUAGUACUAGUGGUGCUGAUUGGAUCGAGCUCGGGUAUGAAUGUGAAAACUUGGGGUCUGGGGACGGAGAUGAUGAAGGAAGAUUUUCGAAAAUUGGGAGAAAUCGUUAAAAGUAUUGAUGACAAAGUUGAAGUUGGGUACCCAGGAAGUAGUGUCAAUAACCAUCACUACAUUCCUAGGCAAGAUUUCAAUAACCAUGGUGGUGAUGAUGGUGGUAAAAAAUAAAUAUAUAGAUAUAUAUAGAUCAUAAUUCAUAAAUAUAUAUUGAAUCCCUUAUAGUUAUAUAUAUAGUUGUGUAAUACAUAAAGUUUGUUCCUCUCUGGCUAGGUGAAAAAGAAUAUUGUUGUUCAUAAUGAACUAGAGUGUUUGUUAAUCUAUAUUAUAUCAUAUAGGAAUAUUGAGUGUAUGAAUUAAUAAUAAAAUUUACAUGUUGUAUUGUCUUGUAUA